CCACUUCAAUUUGCUGCGGACAAAUAAAGUGAAUAUGCGAAUCAAUCGCGCCCGCCGUUAGAAUCUUGCCUUCUCCAGCGAUGAUCUCUGUACUCGGUCCGAUAAUGAUGUCAAUCUCGUUUUGUGUGUAGGGGUUGCCAGCCUUCCCGAUCUUGGCAAUCUUCCCAUCCUUGAUGCCGACAUCUGCUUUGACUACGCCCCACCAAUCAAGAAUUAACGCAUUCGUAAUCACCGUAUCUACCGCGCCGUCCGCUCUCGAAAUUGGCGAUUGUCCCAUGCCAUCGCGAAUGA
RNAcentral lists this small RNA (291 nucleotides) under Synechococcus sp. PCC 7335. RNAcentral's name for it is "5' ureB small RNA". It matches the Rfam family "5' ureB small RNA". Lineage: Bacteria; Bacillati; Cyanobacteriota; Cyanophyceae; Synechococcales; Synechococcaceae. The record is from Rfam by way of RNAcentral.